Molecule: ribosomal RNA, 400 nt
Filed under: uncultured bacterium
Lineage: Bacteria
Description: partial 16S ribosomal RNA
Rfam family: Bacterial small subunit ribosomal RNA
Source: RNAcentral
CCUACGGGAGGCAGCAGUAGGGAAUAUUGCUCAAUGGGGGAAACCCUGAAGCAGCAACGCCGCGUGGAGGAUGAAGGUUUUCGGAUUGUAAACUCCUUUUGUUAGAGAAGAGAAGGACGGUAGCUAACGAAUAAGCACCGGCUAACUCCGUGCCAGCAGCCGCGGUAAUACGGAGGGUGCAAGCGUUCCUCGGAAUCACUGGGCGUAAAGAGCGCGUAGGCGGGAUAGCAAGUCAGAUGUGAAAUCCUAUGGCUUAACCAUAGAACUGCAUUUGAAACUGUUAUUCUAGAGUAUGGGAGAGGUAGGUGGAAUUCUUGGUGUAGUGGUCAACUCCGUAGAGAUCACGAGGCAUACUCAUUGCGAAGGCGACCUGCUAGAACAUACCUGACGCUGAUGCGCG